GCUAACUCAGCUAUGGCAAUAACCAAGUGGCAGCACAAUGACGCAGCCGCAUCCGGGUUCAAGUCCCGGCGCCUCCACGCGCUCUAAAAACGAGCGGAGGGGGGAAACCAAGCGAACGGGACAAGCCCUUUAUUUUAUUUAAAAAAAAAGCUAAAAUAAAAAUAAGCAAAGCAGUAGAAGGGGGAGAAGGUCCUGCUAGCAAAUCGGGGGGGGCGACAAGCAGAGGUAGACGGCUGCCAGCAAAAGCUGAACACGCUUGCCCGCGACCUGCGCGUCAACAGGAAUAAGUGCAAACACGACAUCACAAGCUAGCGACGAAAGCAAGCUAGUCCCAAGUAGGGCAGCAAGCUUAUAGCAAAAGCCAAGCCAGCGCGUGCUGGCUAGCUGGAGCGGGGCCAGGGGGCGCCCGACAACACAAGCCCCCAGC
Molecule: non-coding RNA, 427 nt
Filed under: Candidatus Hodgkinia cicadicola Dsem
Lineage: Bacteria; Pseudomonadati; Pseudomonadota; Alphaproteobacteria; Hyphomicrobiales
Also listed under: 1 other name
Source: RNAcentral